Molecule: ribosomal RNA, 253 nt
Filed under: uncultured bacterium
Lineage: Bacteria
Description: partial 16S ribosomal RNA
Rfam family: Bacterial small subunit ribosomal RNA
Source: RNAcentral
UACGUAGGGCGCGAGCGUUGUCCGGAUUUAUUGGGCGUAAAGAGCUCGUAGGCGGUUUGUCGCGUCUGCUGUGAAAACCCGAGGCUCAACCUCGGGCCUGCAGUGGGUACGGGCAGACUAGAGUGCGGUAGGGGAGAUUGGAAUUCCUGGUGUAGCGGUGGAAUGCGCAGAUAUCAGGAGGAACACCGAUGGCGAAGGCAGAUCUCUGGGCCGUAACUGACGCUGAGGAGCGAAAGCAUGGGGAGCGAACAGG